AUUCAUCAUGUGCUAUGUCUUCAGAAUCUCAAAAGCCCCUAUUGGAGGAUGGUUUUCAUGGUCUGUUCUGUAGCUGUGAAUAUAGACUGGCAGAAAGAGGGUGUUUACAGAAUGAGAGACAAAGCCCUGGUCUAGUGCCUCUGCCAGUCUGUAUUAAAGAAAUACAGUGUUUGUCUUGUCAAACUGUAACUGUUGAACACAUUAAGACAGUAAUGAAUCGAGGAAUUGAAAACAGUUCUAAUCCACACAGGUGCUGUUGUGGACAAUUAGCAAAGACUCAGUCUACAAAACCAGCCUGUCACAGUCCUCCUUUGUCACGGGAAGUUUGUGAUCUUUCAGUCACUCUUCAAAAUACCUGUAGAUCUCGAAGUCCCUCGCCCCCACCAUUAUCACCUGUGGAGACUGGAGGAUUGGAAAAAUGGAAAGACAUCGUCUCAGAGCUUUCAGCUGUAGAAAAUAACAAACUUGAGGCAAGCAUUAACCAGCCUCCAUCUCUUACACCUGCAGAGAUAAGCACUCACAAAUGUGGCCAUGACAGCAAACUACAUAAAACUAAGAAGUCUGGUAACACUGAUUCUGUGCUCUUGGGGACCAGUGGUAGUUAUACUGCAAAUCAUGAAAAGGGUGAGACAGCUGUAAUUUUUCAAGAUUUAAUGGACCGUAUUAAUGAAAAAUUAAAAUCAAUAGAAACCACAGAUAUAUCUAACCUCAUAAAAUUAUCUAGUACUGAUUGUGAUUCAGACAAUGAUUUUAAACUGGGAGAUUUAAUAACAUCUCUCUUGCACAGUGCAACAGCCAGUGAUUAUAGUUUUAUGGAACUGCUGAGUCAACAUGAUAAAAAGGUAGAAAAUAAAAUUAUUCAGACAAGGUUUCGAAAACGUCAACAAACGUUACUUGCAAUACACAACUCUCCUGAUUCACCAGUGAUCAGAAGGCAAUCUUUACAGAUAAAAAGAGAACUUGCCAGUUUUGAUGAAAACUUUCUGAGAAGAAGGUACAGUGAAAAAAAUUCAAGAAAAUUAUCAUACAGUGAUAAGAUGCUUUCAGUGAACAAAGAAGAAUUCCAGCCUUGUCAAGAGCCUUUAAAAAUUUCAAAAAGCUUUCAAAAUGAAAAUCAUGAAGAAACAUUUACACCAAAUGAGGUAGCACCAUCGAUUCAGGUGCCUCUUGGGAGUUUAGAAACUAACUUGGCUCUUGAUCAAUUUUCAGAAAAUUUUAAAGCAACUUCAUUUGAGAAAAUGAGCCAAAGAAAAUCACAGGAGAGAUCUACAGCUGAGAAACCAACUGUACAAAGUAGUAGGGAAAAUACAAAACUAGAAAAUACUCCAACACUUUUGAGAACUGAUGCUCCUCUUUUGAGCAGAACUAAACGAAAUAUUGUGCCUCCAGGGUGGUAUUCCAUAUAUGUAACAAACGAUUCUGUUUCUAAAAAAUUCCUUGAGGGCAAAAGAGUAUCUGGCUCUGCUCACAGAAAAGAUCUAGGAGAUCCAACUGAAAGUUUUCAAAAUAUAGACUUAAAUAAAAUUGCAAUGAAUUCUAGUUUGCAAGUUGUUGUGGAGCGUUUAGAAGAUACAAUAAAUAUGGCUCAAAGGUCUUGGACUAGUCAAGAAUUAUCUGAAGGAUGUAAAGCAUCCAAAAAAUUGAUAGAAGCAGGUGAUAAAGACCAAAAUGCUGGGAGAGAUUUGACUUUAAGUAGAAUGGCUUGUAAAAAUCAGGGUUUAUCAAAAUCUGUGUUCGCAUCUAGCAGUAAAAGAAGUCAUGACAUGUCUGUCAUGGAUUUGAACAAGACACUUGAUAAUCUGAAGACAUCACCCAUUUUAGAGAAAGGUAGCUCAACAGCCAGUGUUGAAAGUUUGCCAACAAAAUGCGAAGGCAUUGAAAGUUCUGUUUCUAACUAUUUUAGUCCUAUCAAACUCAUGUUUUUAUCUGAGAUUAAAAGCAGUGAAGGCGUCAAAUACACUUUGACUUCCGUCAGCACAUCACAGUCAAAUGCUGAUUUUGAUUCUCACAAACAUAAAAACCAUCAGAUAACUGGAAGAAAAAGAGAAACAACUGAAGAUACACCAAACACUAACUUGGAAGAUUAUAGUUCUAAUCAUCAUGUUUCAAACCUUCAAAGUGAAUUGAACCAAUUUAACUGUGUACUUGAGGCUACACCAUCAUCUGCAGAGUUUACUGACAAUUUAAACAAUGAUAAGCCACAAGAAGACCCUAAGGAAAAGUCAAAUGGUGCUGUUGAUUUACCAUAUAAAAGAAAACCAGGUAGACCUAAAAAAAUCGGUCCCCAAGUUGUGAAGCAGGUUAAAAGGCCAAUUGGAAGACCACCAAAACCUAAAGCUGGUCAAACAAAUGUCAGUGUUUCCCAAAAUGAAUCUUUUAACCCUAGAAAGGAAAAUUCAGAGUCCUUCUUAUCAGAAGUCAAAGAUGUUUGCAGGAAGAGUAUUAUUGUCACUGUUGUUUAUGGAAGGUCAAGAAGAACCAAAAGAUGUGUUUCUGAAGGAAGCACGAACAUCAGCAACAUCUCACUGAACAGUGAUGUCUCUGACUUUUCAGUUAACUCUAGUUGUCUCAGAAAUACUAAAGCUCAUGAGAUUGGCUCUGGUGAAAGUCUGAGUGCUGGCUCAAGAUUGACAACUCAAAGUGGGGUUUGUGAUUCUGACUUUGAAUAUAUUAGACCUAUCAAGAGCAAGUCUAUGAUACCUCAGACUUCCAAGAACAUUAUUCGACCAAACCAAAAACCUUUAUCAAUUGUUAGGAAGCCUGGUCGACCUGCAAAAGUGAAAAUUUCUGGUAUAUCUGUGACUGUUAAUAGAAUUUCACCUCAGGAAAGAGAAGUAUGUAUUAGCAGCUGCUUACCUCCUUUAGAUCAGGAGAUAAUGUUAGAGAAAACUUGCCUAGAAGAAAAGCUUGACCAGCAGUGCAGUAAUGUGGAUAACAUCAAGCACACCAAUGUUGACAUAUUUAAGAAUGAAUCAAAUAGUACUGUUGUUUCUAUACCUCCAAAACAUUCUAUUAGGGCUAGAAAACCUUCUUUGCAUUUCUUACAUUCAUUUGCAUCUUCUGGCUCACUUACUUACAAAAAUGCUCUCCGUCAUAAAUCAUGUAAACUCCAUUUGCAUAAAUGCAAAAAUCCAAAGAAAAAAUACAGGCAGUCGGGUUUUAGACUAGCUUCCAAAGGUAUCCCACGAUCUAGAUGUUCAAAGAAAGCAAAAAAAUAUUUGGAAGAUAAAAAAUUAAUGCCCAUUUCUGAAGUGUCCUUGGACCCUGUAAUUUCAUCCAACCCUUUACUAAGGUGGUGGGCUACUUCUGCUUCAAAUGAUUCCUUGUUAGAGGAAUUAAACAAUAGAUUUGAACAAAUAACAAAUGCGUGGGUACAGGUGAGUAAAGAUGAAGCUCAAAAUUUUGUUCAUAAAACAGAAUACACUAAAGGUGAUCAUUGCGAAGCAGCAAGCCCUCUGGAAACUUGUCUUCUAGAACUUGAAGUUUCACCUGUAAAAAUGCUUUUUCAGAAAAAGUAUAAUUUGAAUGAACUUUGUACCUGGUUUAUGCAAACAACAGAAACACAGUCCCUUUCACUAGUUAGAAAAGCAAAUGCUCGAAACCCUUUGGAAGUGAUAAGCACCAAGGGCAUUAAGUUAGGGGUGAAAUGCUGUGGAUUUAAUGCCAGCCCCUUCAGGAAGCACUUUAAAAAAUUUGCAGUCUCUUCUCCUUCAAAACCAGCUGGGAAAUUUCAUAUACUACAUAAAAUGGUUGGCUCACCACUCUUAAAUGUGAAAAGUAAUUUAACAUUAGCAAGGUUGAAAAGGACUGAGUUUAAGAAUUUGCACUGUGAGAGGUGGAGAAGAGAAGAAAGGCCAUACAGCCACAGAACAGUUGAUUGGAGCUCAAAAAGAAGGAACUUAAGAUUGUUCUGCCAGAAUCCAUCUUGGACUAACUCAGAGGGGCAGACAAAUGCAGAGACAUCACUCAAUGGGAAAGGCACAGUAGGUAACCAGUGGGCCUCACCCCCAGAACCCAGAGUCACCUUUGCUAAAAAGAGGGUGGCAGUACAUGACUUCAGAACACAUGCUAGUUUAGAGAGUAAGUUUAAUGGAACAGGGGGUGGCCAGACUGACUCUGAAAAGGAACAAAUAAUGGAAAGUGUAUCUUCCCAUAAUUGGAGGUCAAAAACUUUAAAAGACUGUAGAAUAUUUUUGAGGAAGAUCAACUGUCUUGAACACAGAAACACUUUUAAGCUAAAUACAAUAAUUUAUUCUCCUGAAUCUGUUGACAGUGGAGGUAGUCAGGCACAACCAGAAGAAUCAAAGCGUUUUAGUUUAAGGUCCCAUUCUGCAAGGCAAAAUUCCUUUAAAAAGCAAAAUGAAGAAAGAGCAAAUCCCAAAGCAAAUAGUCCUGCAAGUAGUAGAUUGACUGGUGAGCUCGACAGCAGUCACUUAAGUAAGCAUGUUAACUUUGACAAGAACCCCGAUCAUUCUGAGGCUCUUAGCAAAUUAAGCAAAAGAAAAAGACCACCAUGGAAGACCACAGAAAUGUCAGCAAAAAGGCAUAAACGACAGUCUUGCAACAGUGGACAAAUGGCAAACUAUUGUACAAAAUCCCAAGUAGGUAAGUUGUUCUCUCCUUCAUUUUAAAGUUUCAUUGUAGGUGCCUUGAGUCAACCAUAAGCUAGUGGGUAGAAAAGGAACAGCUAACUACAUUCUAAUUUAUUUCUAAAAUAUUUGAACAACUUAAUUUCUUGGCACCUAGUAUGAAACUCCUGAAAUUAGGUACUACUAGAUGUAGUGCACUUAACCGCUAAGCUUCAGCAUUCAAACACAAGCAAAUACAUUUAGAAGAGACAUGAAGAACAUUGUGAAAACAGGCCGUGAAUGUAUUUGGUAGGUGACUGUGAAAAGCUAAUUAAAAAUUUACUGCAGGCUAAUACUGGCUCACUCUCAAAAAUACCAACCAUGAGAACAUACAGAAAACAGCUAAAGUGGUCUCAUUAGAGACUAACAUUGUAAUCCUAAGGUGUAAAUCUCCCUCAUUAAGCUGUUACUCUAUUUGAUACUGCUUUGAAAACGUACUGCAAGACUGCUUUUUUAGAAGGUGGUAUAUACUAAUUUUUUUUCAAUGAUCAGCAAGUAUAAUAAGUGGACUUUUAUGAAUUAGAGCUCACUUGUGCAGAUAGAAAGAGGAGGAUUCCUUUAUGGAGCUGAGCAAGUCACUGUUAGGGUCAUUUCAGAUUGAGAAUGGAAUACGAAAUUAAGUGAUGUACCUUAUUAAGAUACACUGACAUUUCAAGGCCAGCCUGGUCUACAAAGUGAGUUCCAGGACAGCUAGGGCUACACAGAGAAACCCUGUCUUGUAAAACCAAGGAGGAAAAAAAUAAAGAUACACUAACAUAGCUUCGGUACUGAUGAAUGUAGUGAUAAUAUGAGCAUGGUAGUUGCCUGAAUAGCCGUUUUUCGUCUGCUUAUUUGGUAGGUACUAAACAGUGCAGGAUAUUAGGUAGGAGACUUUACAGAUUCCAUCUUCACCACGAAAGAAUGCCAAUUUAUAUAUUUAGGAAAAAAGAAUAUUUUAUGGCUCAUGUUCAUUUUUAUAUUUGUAUAACUUAGAAAAAUCUUUGGGGACUUAGGGAAGUAUUAGUGUCUUACUAGAGUCAAUAACAUCAGGUCUCAUUAAAAUAUUAAGCACAAUAAUUAAGUUGAAGAGUUUUAUAUAGGCUUUAUGUGUACCCCCACCCCCAGGUCAGUUAACUGAAUAAUUUUAACAUGCAUACUCCAGUACUCUGUAACAUAUAAUGAUAAAAAUUUCAAAUAUCUGGCAUGAAAAAUGCUUAAAGGAGGUCAAAGUAGACUCUCCAUUACAAAAGAUGAAUGGAAACUCUGAAGAAUAACUUAGGUUUGAUCCUCAAGAAGGCUAAAAAUAAUAUUAUAACAGGUGCUUCAUCAGGAAUAUACCUACUAGCAAAGUUUUAAAAGCUUGUAAUUCACCUAGAACAUGUGUACAAGUUUCACGAAGAAUAAAAUAUAGUUUCAUUUUACUUGUGUUUCAUUUUCACCUCAUGCUGUUGCAGACGUUCUAAAGUGAUUUCACUGUGCAACAGAACCGCAUUUUAUCCUUGCAGCUUCCUACCCAUUGUACUUUCCUAACAAUCAAGCACAGUCUCAACUUUAAUAUUUCUUCACCCUGUCAAAUGUAAGAUUCCUAAGAUAGGAAGAUGACAGAUAUUUAAAUAUCACUUUUGCAAAUUGAUUUUAAAAUCCUUUGUGAGUAUUUUAAAAAUUAGUAACAUAUAAAGAAUUGUUUUUCACCUUUUCCAUUUUAAAAUUUGCUAGUGCUGUUUGCUGUUCUGCUUGAAGUUUAUUCAUCUUUACUGAUAACUUUCCUUCUUUAUUUUUGACAUUUUUUAAAUCAACGAGAUUAUUAUUUUUAGUUAUAUUUAUAACAAUAUUUGUUACGUUUAUGUGAUUUUUAAAUGUUUCUUACAGUGUUGUUGUGUUUUUUUUUUCUCUCAUUAUCUUUGGUAGUCCAUGCUUCUUUUUGCCUUUUUGGAAGUAACACUAAAACUCAUCAUUAGUUUUAUAUGUGUUUUUGGUUUUCAUAUAUAAUUAGUGACUGAAGACGUAAGACUGUUAACUACAGGACUUCUCUAGACAAAUUCUGAGGACAGUGUAUAUUAUAAAUUUUGGAAUAUUUCUAUUUGUGGAAAAUAAUUGUUUCUAUACUGAAUGUCUUGCCUCUGUAUAUACUAACUGUCCAAAUAAGAUUUAAUACAUAAGAUCUUGCUGCACCUGCUGCACUCUGUGUUAAAUGUAGACAUGGGAAGAAGGCAAAUGCAGUUCUAUACUAUUGUACUUCCCCUUUUGAAGGAAUGGCUACAGUAUGUUCUCAGUGUGGAAGGUCUAGGACGUUCCAGUUCAUCAACGGGAGAAAAUAUGUACACAUUCAUAUAAAGUCAUUAUUAUUAUUAUUAUUACUAUUAUUGUAAGCACGAUACUUCAUGUUUGAAGGAAACAGUGAUUAAUGCCACAGGUUUUGCUCUUAGGAAGCAUAGAAAAGUAAAUACUACUGAAUGCUGAGUAAUAUGACAGAAAGAAGAUACCUGGAGGGACAUGAAGGAUUUCAGAUUUAUCCAAUACUGUUGCUUAUAUAGUGAGAAUUAUAAGAAUCUCAAAUACUAGAAGGUAAAAAAUGGUGGGAGAGGUUCAAGUAGAACAAAUUUCAGGCAGAAACUGGAGGCAAUAAAGAUGGCUCAUUUGGAACAUUGAGUAAUUUCUCAGAGCUAAGGUACAAAAUGGAGACUGCAGUGGUCAGUCAGAUAUAAAAUAUCAAAAGACAGAAUCACUGGGAAGGCACUGCUCAAAUGCUGAGGCAACAUCAGUUAAUCGCGGGGGUGGGGGGUGGUCUAAGCCCUAACAGGAAAGUAGGAAAGAAAUUUUACAGAAGUCUAUGGAAUAAAAAUCACAUCUUUUUUUCCUCCUCUUCUCUCAUAAAGUACAUCCCAACAGCAGUUUCUCCUCUCCUGACUCCUCCCAGUCUCCUCCCACCUCCUCUCUUUCAAAGAUCCACUCCUGCACUUCCCUUCAAAAAGAAAAAAAAAGUGCCAGACUCCCAGGGACAUCAAGCAAACACAGCAUAACAGGUUACAAUAAGACCAGGCACAAACAUAUCAAGGCUGGACAAGGCUCAGGCAAGAGAGUCAACAGUAGCACCCACUCCCACUGUUAGGAGUCCCACCGGAACACCAAGCUACAGGACCAUAACAUAAGCAGAGGACCUAGCUCAGCCCCAUAAAGUCAGGGUCUUAAUAGAACACGGGAAUGAAGGGAAACAUCCAGAACUUUGCCUUGAGCAUCAAGGUUUUAGCUUUAAAGGUUUAGAUGAAAUUGGUAUGAUUUCUUUAAAAAAGAUGUCAAAGAAGCCG
Long non-coding RNA from Mus musculus (house mouse), 7912 nucleotides. RefSeq annotates it as predicted gene 3414. The record is from RefSeq and is marked validated. NCBI's taxonomy places the organism in Eukaryota, Metazoa, Chordata, Mammalia, Rodentia, Muridae. The transcript has a single exon.